UCCCAGUGUUGAUCUCAUACAUGGAACUGUAGGUUGCAAAUAAUUCUCUCCAGAGUUCUGUAGGUACCUGGUGAUCCUGUCAAUUGGCACUUGAGGCUGGGUAGGGAAGGGACAAGUAAGUGUCCCACUGCUACAUUCAAGAGAGCUAACGCCUCUCAACCAACCAUCCCGGAAAGCAGUGUGUUUCUAUUUACAGCGUAAAGUCCUCAGAACGAGCAAUGCCAGAAGACUCCUCAGAAACACAGUUCCCACAACUAUGAAAUACAGCUGAAAUCACCUGUGCUCUGAGAAGCUGUGAUGAAGUGGAACCAAGCGGAUGGAGAGCACUGCUUGAACGGGAAGUGAGAUUAACUCUCCCUCACACUGCAAGUGCCCAAACAUUUACGAUUUCCACUCAUCCAAGUCUGUCUCCAGGUGUUCCUUCAACCUGAAUCAUCUGGAUUAAGGACCAGAAUAGAAACAGACUCAAAAGAUAAUUCUAUAAUCUGGCAGUUUCUAGAAGACAUGAGGCACACAAGGCCAGCACUGCCUGAGCAUGGCAUGGAAUAGGAACAGGACACGUGGCACUGGAGCAGAUCUGAUGAAGGCCAGAGAAAUCUGCGACCGGAUGUGGAAUUAAGAGUGGGAGCCCUGGCUGCCAAGGACUGAGCAGCCCUGGGGAGAGGAGACUGCACAGUUUAACACUAGGUUCUAGACAAAA
Molecule: non-coding RNA, 700 nt
Organism: Peromyscus maniculatus bairdii (prairie deer mouse)
Lineage: Eukaryota; Metazoa; Chordata; Mammalia; Rodentia; Cricetidae
Source: RefSeq, a predicted model, not a curated record